This 250-nucleotide ribosomal RNA is filed under the name uncultured bacterium. Its description in RNAcentral is "partial 16S ribosomal RNA". It matches the Rfam family "Bacterial small subunit ribosomal RNA", at positions 524 to 773 of the family's 1533-position model. The record is from RNAcentral.
UACGAAGGGGGCGAGCGUUGUUCGGAUUUACUGGGCGUAAAGGGCGCGCAGGCGGCCAUUCAAGUCAGGCGUGAAAGCCCCGGGCUCAACCUGGGAAUUGCGUCUGGGACUGGGUGGCUGGAGUUCGGGAGAGGAGCGUGGAAUUCCCAGUGUAGAGGUGUAAUUCGUAGAUAUUGGGAAGAACACCGGUGGCGAAGGCGGCGCUCUGGACCGAGACUGACGCUGAGGCGCGAAAGCGUGGGGAGCAAAC